UUUUUUUUUUUUUGAGACGGAGUCUCGCUCUGUCGCCCAGGCCGGACUGCGGACUGCAGUGGCGCAAUCUCAGCUCACUGCAAGCUCCGCUUCCCGGGUUCACGCCAUUCUCCUGCCUCAGCCUCCCGAGUAGCUGGGACUACAGGCGCCCGCCACCGCGCCCGGCUAAUUUUUUGUAUUUUUAGUAGAGACGGGGUUUCACCUUGUUAGCCAGGAUGGUCUCGAUCUCCUGACCUCAUGAUCCACCCGCCUCGGCCUCCCAAAGUGCUGGGAUUACAGGCGUGAGCCACCGCGCCCGGCCUAUGAUGUGCUUUUAGCUAGGAGUGAAAAGGAUCCACUAGCCAGAAAUGGACUAGUCACCUCCUACAGGAAGCCUUCUCAGACCACCCCCAGCCCAAAGGGAAUUCCUAGUAUACUUUUGUUUUUUUUGAGACAGGGUCUUUGUUGCCCAGGCUGGAAUGCAGUGGUGCAAUCAUGGCUUACUGCAGCCUUGACCUCCUGGAUUCAAGCAAUCCUCCCACCUCAGCCUCCCAUGUAGCUGGGACCAAAGGCACACACCACCAUACCCGGCUAAUUUUUUUAUGUUUUGUAGAGCUGAGGUCUCACUUUGUUGCCCAGGCUGGUCUUGAACUCCUGGGCUCAAGUGAUCCUCCCGCCUCAGUCUCUCAAAGUGCUGGGAUUAUAGGCAUAGGCCACUGCGACUGGCAUAAACUAUAUGUCUGCCAAUCUCCUUGAAGGCUAGGGGGCUUCAUGUCACUAGCCUGGCUACAAAAAUUGCUGAGGGUCUCCAAGUUCCACACAGCCCCCUUGGUGCCUCAGCCUAUAGCCACAUUCCCCACACGCCUGAGUUUGACUUGGCAAAUGUGAUGUGCCAGGCACAUUAACCGCCCCAUUUCAUGCCCACAACAUCCCCCUUAUCUUCCAUUUCACAAAAGACUAACCAGAGGCCCCUCUACAGCAGGCAAGAGACGACUCUAGCUCCCACAGCUGCUAUGAAGAGCAUCACAUUCAUUCAGUAUGAUUUUGUUCAGGCCCAAGCCCAUCUGUCUUUCCAUUGCAGAAUAACUGCCUCUGAUUUGUUUCCAUCAGUCUGGUUCUUCUAGCACAGUAAUCCUCAACUUGGAAGCACAGAAUCACCCAGGGAGCUUUUUAAAAGUACUGAUGCUGGGCUCCAGAGAGACAGGUUUCUUUGGUCUGGGACUCAGGCAUGAGUAGUUUUUGGACAUCCCCCCUGUGUCCCUAUGGUGCUUGUGUGCACCCAGGUGCAAGAAGCACUACUUAGAUCUUUGGGUCCUUCUGUAGGGGGAGGCUCCCUCCAACCUAGGGCAGACGGCAAUGGCCACAGAACUCUAGGAAAUCCCAAAGGGAGGCCUCCUUCCAGGGAAAGAAACCCACUGCCCCCCGGCAGUUUUCUCCCAUGAGGUGUGGGCCCUGCAGGCCCAUCUCAGCCCUUUGGAGAAGCAGAAGGGACCCUGCACAGCUGAGUGUGCCACAUACAUUCGCACGUGCACAGUCCCGAGCAGCCCUGCUAAAGCCGGGAUUGUAUUUCAGGCAGAAAUGCAACCAACAGCCGGGCAGUAGGGCCUGCCCCGCCUCUGUACUUAGGCAUGCCAGCUUCUGUGCCUGCCCCUGCCAGCUGGGCAGAGGCAGCGCCGGGUGCUGCGCUGACGGACUACCUCCCACUGUGCCCCUAGGGGAACAGCAGUGCCUGUUCCAUGCCUGGAGCCUCUGUGGCCAACAGCACUUCUUAAGCGCACCCGGCACAAAAAGGGCCAUCCCUGCCCUACGAGAAAUGGGGCCUCCUUUCCCAGUGUGGGGGCACUGGAUGAGAAGAGUGGGAAAGAAAGGCUCCAGCAACAAACAAGAAUAGAGAGUUCUGUGGCAGGUUAGAGAGCCCGCAAGGCCUGAGUAUGGCCAGAUCAUAGCAAUAGUGACAGCAAGCCUUCAUCAGUGCUGACUUGGAGGCAUCCAACAGCAUCGAGCUGCCUCGUCCAAUCCUCAGAGCAACCCCAUGCAGUAGGUCCUGUGAUGGCCCCGUUUCACGCAUGGGCAAAGCAAGCCUCAUGAGGAGCCCCUGGCUGGACCUGCUGGGGUCCCAGGGGUCCCCUGGACCCCUGCCCCACCCUUGCCUCACAUCUGCAUUCCUUCAACUACCACCUGGAUGGAACCCUGGCUGCCAACUUAAACUUCUCAACUGGGCUUUUGCCAAGUCAGUCCCAUGCUCCAACGCCUUCCACGGCUCCCUCUUGCCUAUAAAGGACAAAUUCAAGCCCAGUCUUUCUUGCCAAUCUGAGCUCCCCAAGUUCCUUGAUCCCCGUCCCCCACACCACCAUUCAAUACAUCAUUCAUGAUUCAACACAUGUAUCGAGCACCCACUAGGCGCCAACACCCAACACCACUGCUCCAUGCAGCUUCUUACUUUCCAAGUCUGUGCUCUAGCUGCUGCCCCCUGCUGGAAUGCUUUCCCUUCUCUCUACCAAUCCCAGUUUCCCAAUUCUCCCCAAGCAUCUCUGUCCUCCAGGAGGCUCCUGAUCACUCUUGUUCCCUCUUUUCUGUUCCCUCCUGGACUUUAUGUUGGGCAUUGCUCCCCAACCAAAGUAUGUGCCUUGGACAAGAGUCUCUCGACACUCCAGGACUGGUGCCUCAGGACAUGACAUGGGACAUAGUAAUUACCUGAAAUUCAUGAUGGAAAUGCUUAGAAUUAGAGUCCAAAGGUCUGAGGUCCAGUCCUGCUUUGCCCUUACUAGCUCUGAGAUCCUGGGGAGGACACGUAACCUCUCUUGAGCUUUAGUGUCAUCUGGAAACAGGAACAAUAGCAGUUCCUACCUCAUGGGAAUUGUUCUGAGCACGGAAUGAAGUGACGGGGCUUCAAGUCCUAUGGAAAUCAUAGAUGGUCAUUUUAAAGCAAGUGGAGGGAAUGGGAGAUCUGAGGAGCAGCAAAGCUGUUGGUUCCUUCGUGGGCUCACCAGCAGGCAGCUCGGUGCCAGGGCUGCAGGUGCCAGGAGAAGGGUGGGGAAGGGAGGCCGGGGGCUGUGUCCCUGCAACAUGCCCCUCCCAGACCCUACCUUCAGCAGGUAACGGGUACUUGCCAGCUGGAUUGAGAGGCAGCUCAGAGCCCCCUGGGCCUACUCUGGGGGGAUGCCAGGCUAAGCAACCUGAGGCCCCUGAUCUAUAAGGAUCUCCAACAUCAGCCCUUACCUCUGAGUUUCCUGUCUCAUAUCUCAAAGAACCCUCCAACCCUCCAGAUGGAGAAACCAAGGCCCAGAGAGACUCUGGCCCUGGACUCGCAGUCUGGCUGGGUUUUCCCCCAGCCCACACUGCCUCCCCUGGGCCUCUCACUCCAAACAGCUGGGAUCAUCUUGAGACGUGGUUAAGUGUCCUCCCCAGGGUCACAGAGCUAGUAAGGCCCUGUGCUGGCCUCCACCCCAGGCUCCCCACGACUCCCCAACCCUGGGCAUCCUACAAAAGUCCCUCUAGCCCCUUAUAACUGGUUCCUCCCAGGCUGGACUGGGACUGCUGGCCCCUCCGCUAUACGUUUGGUGAAUAAAAUGUAUUGCUGUGGGCCAAGUGGGCUCUGGCUCACUGGCGUGUGGAGAGGGGAAAAAGGGACAGGAGCCCAGUGAUUAGCUCAGGCCCAGGCCCUCGUCACAGGAAACUCCAGAAGGAGAUUGCAACGCCCUCCGACCCACUGCCUUCUCUUCUCCUCUGGACUCCUCCCAACACGUUUACCUCCCAUUCCCCGCCCACAGCUGCAGCAGUAGGGGCUGGGCUUUGGGCUCUAAACACUGGGGCUGGCCCAGCCCCACCACCCCACUCAGCUCCCACCCUUCUGCUUUGUCCCCUAUUCCCCCAGCCUGAACCUCUGCUCUCAGGUUUGGGGCUAGAGGGUCAGGGUGUGUAACAGCCUCAAAAAUGGAGGGGUCCCAUAGAAGACCCUUCUGGAAAUUCCAUCCCUCCUCCGACCAUCUCCAUCCAGGAGCUGAGAACCCUGCUGUCCGGGAUUCUCUGCCAUGGUCCCAUAAGACUAAAGGUUGAAGGCAAGUCCCUGACCCCUGCCCAGCUCCUCCCAGACACAGGCCAAGGCCCUAGUCCCUGAGGGCCAUCUCAGCCAGGCAGGCCAAGCUCUGGAUUGCUGGGCAUGGGGGCUGUGACCCACCCUCAGUCACAGUCACAGAACUGCCCCACCCCCUGCCCCAAAUCUGCAGCUCCCCAGUGAGAUCACUGGAAAUGAGGGUUGGGUGUCAGGGCCCGCUGCUCUCUGCCUCAGUUUACCUGCCUAAAGUGAGAUGAACCAUCUUUGGCUGGGCUCUCUCACUGAGACGGCCAAUUGAGAUAAGGCUGAAGAUGGCGAAAGCCCCACCACUGCCUGAGCACUUUCUGUGUGCCAGGCUCCCCACGAGGUGGGAUGGCUUCCCCUUAGGGAGGUUACACACCCCACCCAAGGCAGCAUGGCCAGGACGUAGCAGAGCUGGAAUUCAGACCCACACACCCUGGGUCCAGAGCACACGUGCUUACACGCUGAGCUACGUGGUCAUCACUCAGCAAAGGGCCCCAUGUUCAGAUCUGACUGGGGAGGCAGAGGGCACAGCAAGUGGCAGACCCCCUGCCAUGCUGGCAAACAGCUGCUGCACAUCACAGGGAAGCAUGCGCAGGGCCUGCAGGCACCGGCUCCCGCGCACACGGACCUGGAACACACAUGC
This 4700-nucleotide long non-coding RNA is filed under the name Homo sapiens (human). RNAcentral describes it as "HSALNT0359783". The record is from RNAcentral. Lineage: Eukaryota; Metazoa; Chordata; Mammalia; Primates; Hominidae.